RNAcentral lists this ribosomal RNA (373 nucleotides) under uncultured bacterium. RNAcentral describes it as "bacterial SSU rRNA". It matches the Rfam family "Bacterial small subunit ribosomal RNA", at positions 527 to 898 of the family's 1533-position model. The record is from RNAcentral.
GUAGGGUGCGAGCGUUGUCCGGAAUUAUUGGGCGUAAAGAGCUCGUAGGCGGUUUGUCGCGUCGACUGUGAAAACCUGGGGCUUAACUCUGGGCCUGCAGUCGAUACGGGCAGACUUGAGUUCGGUAGGGGAGACUGGAAUUCCUGGUGUAGCGGUGAAAUGCGCAGAUAUCAGGAGGAACACCGGUGGCGAAGGCGGGUCUCUGGGCCGAUACUGACGCUGAGGAGCGAAAGCGUGGGGAGCGAACAGGAUUAGAUACCCUGGUAGUCCACGCUGUAAACGUUGGGCGCUAGGUGUGGGGGACAUUCACGUCUUCCGUGCCGUAGCUAACGCAUUAAGCGCCCCGCCUGGGGAGUACGGCCGCAAGGCUAAA